RNAcentral lists this ribosomal RNA (472 nucleotides) under uncultured bacterium. Its description in RNAcentral is "bacterial SSU rRNA". It matches the Rfam family "Bacterial small subunit ribosomal RNA", at positions 355 to 825 of the family's 1533-position model. The record is from RNAcentral.
UGGGGAAUUUUGGACAAUGGGCGAAAGCCUGAUCCAGCCAUGCCGCGUGUGUGAAGAAGGUCUUCGGAUUGUAAAGCACUUUAAGUUGGGAGGAAGGGCCAUUACCUAAUACGUGAUGGUUUUGACGUUACCGACAGAAUAAGCACCGGCUAACUCUGUGCCAGCAGCCGCGGUAAUACAGAGGGUGCAAGCGUUAAUCGGAAUUACUGGGCGUAAAGCGCGCGUAGGUGGUUUGUUAAGUUGGAUGUGAAAUCCCCGGGCUCAACCUGGGAACUGCAUUCAAAACUGACUGACUAGAGUAUGGUAGAGGGUGGUGGAAUUUCCUGUGUAGCGGUGAAAUGCGUAGAUAUAGGAAGGAACACCAGUGGCGAAGGCGACCACCUGGACUGAUACUGACACUGAGGUGCGAAAGCGUGGGGAUCAAACAGGAUUAGAUACCCGAGUAGUCCCUGAGCGGGCUGGCAAGGCGCAU